ACAGUAGGUAUAACAGAAAAACUAAACGCUUUUACUUGUGUGCAUAGACAUACCGGCCGCCAUGUUGCUAGCAGAGUAUCACGCCAGUCGCGGCACGGUGUAUCGGUUGACAAGGCGUAACGUGUUUUCGCGAGCGAAUCAUGGUACGAAAAUAUGAAAAGAAGGGUACGCGAAUUACAUGGAGAAAAUUCUAGAAGGUCAUUUUAAUAAAACGCAAUAGUAUCAAAUAUUGUAAACACAUUGUCAGCAAUAAUUUUUUUAUAUAAACGAAAGAAUGUAAACACCUUAGUAAUGUUUAUAUAGUUAGUACAGUUAAUUCGCUUGAGAGAAUAAUUGUAACCAUUCAAUAAUACAAGAUUAAUAGUAAUUUUUGUAUUAAAUAAAUUUUUAAAAAUAAUUUUUUAUUACCGAAAAUUAUAUUUGGCGCAGUCAGUAGGAUAGUGCGGUCGCGAGUUUUACGCAAAGUGUGAUAAAAGUUCGGAUUAAGUACUUCAGUACCUCAGCACUAAAUCCACGAGCUCUGCGAAGGACAGGACUUCAAAUAAUUGUAAGUGCCAAGUUCCCUUAUUUUUAUUCCUUUUUAUUAUCUAUCCUUAUUGAUUCUGAGUAAGGAAGAGAUAAUUUAUUAAUUUUAAUUUUUUUUAUCAAGUAUAUGAAAGAUUUGGAUACUUUAUUAAAUACAUUUUGUGAUUUAAACUUAGUAGAUAAUCCAGAUUACGCAAAAAUGGCAACAGCUAAUCCAAAAACCCUUAAUUGGUUUAAUUAUUUAAACUAAAAUUAGACAAUAUAAAACCAUAUGAUGGUAAUAUAAAUACAUUGAAUAAAUUUAUUAAUAGAUGUGAGAAAUGGAAUGUAUCCAAGAAAAAUUAAUUGAUAAAGCAGAAAUGAUGGUAAGAAAUAGGAUUGAACUAAAUGCAUAGUUCAAAUUAAAAAAAGCUCUAAUACAAUGUUUAUGAAUUCGAAAACUUCGAGAAACUCUAUGGCCAAUUUUACGAGCCCAGAGUUAAGUACAAUAAUAAUAAUAAUUUUAAAACUAAUUCAAUGGAAAAUAUUAGAAAUAAUCAAUAUAAUAAUAAAAAAUGCACAAGUAUUUGGCACAAGAAAAAAUGUUUUCCGGCCAAAUCAAAUACUUGUAAAUCGACUACCAAAACCAGAACCGAUGUCUACAACAUUAAGAAAUUUUUCAGAUAAACCCAGUAGACAUGUAAAUAUUAAUCGCAAUAAUUAUUAUAAUAACAAUAAUAAUUAUUAGUAUAAAAAUUUCCAAUCAAGAAAUCAAAAACCAAAUUUUACAUCUGAGGAAUUAUACAAUAAUAAUUGUAACGAUAAUGAAGAAGAAGAAAAAAUAAUUGAUUUUCAGAAUUUAUUUGAGCCAGAUGAAAAUAAUGAUCAGACUGUGAAUUUUCGAAAAGAGCCUCGAAAGAAAAAUUAAAAAUAAUUGAAAUAAAAACCGUAACAAACAAUCCGUUGUCAUAUAUUGAAAUUAAAAAUUCAAAAUUAAAAUUAUUAAUAGAUACAGGAAGUAACAAAUCAAUAUUAAAGCCUUCAAUUGUUGAAUAACAUCAUCCUCUAUGUAUACAUCAUUCAAAUGUAAAGAUUCGAACAUCGCUAACCAGUAUAAUAAUUAGAGCUAGAUCUCAGUAAAUUAUUUGAUGAAGAAGAAAAAGAUAAAUGUAACAGAAAAGAAUUCAGAAGAAAAUAUUAUAAUGGUAAGAGAAAUGAAUAAUAAUACAAAAGGAGAAUUAGAAGUAGAAUUAUUUGAUAAAGUGGAAUUAAACAUAGAAUUAAAAUAUACAGGAUUAGAUGAAUUAAAAAUGAAUGAAAAUGACAAUGAAAUUGAACUAAAAGAAAAUGUAAUAGAAUUAAAUAGAAAAAUAAAUGAAAUAAAUAAUGAUAUAACAAUGGAAGAAAAAGAUAUAAAUGAUGUUAUAAAAAUAGAUAAUGAUAUAUUACAAGAAGAAUGUUAUGCUAUAAAACCUGAAUUAAAUACAAAUAUAUUGGAUAUACAAAAUCAAAAUAAUAUGAUUAAUAAAAGAGACAUGAAUAAUGAAAAUGAGAAAAUGGUUAUUAAUUAUGAAAUAAUUAACAAACAAAUUGUUAAGAAUAAUACUAAUAUAAGUUUAAAAUAUUUCAAUAGAAAAUUAAUCGCUAUGCUAAAUGACAAAAUAAUAGAAGAACAAUUUUGGAAAAAUAAAUAUUAUCAUUCAUUAAAAUGGUACGCAAUUCAAGAAAUUAUAAAAUUGAUUUUUAUACAAAGACCUUUCUUUUUUAUUAUUAUUACGUUAUAAGAAUAGAUAAGAUUUAGAAUUAAUAGAUAAGGGGCCAUCCAUAAAUUACGUCACACAAAUUUCAGGACUUUUUAACCCCUCCCCCCUCCUUGUCACAGGUUGUCACAAUUUCAAAACCCCCUCCCCCCUGAUGUGACGUCACACAUUUUUCAAAUUUAUAUAUUUAUUCAAAAAUAAUCAAAAGAAAACAGUUAUUUUUAUUUUUUUCUUACUUUUAUUAUAUAAUCUUUGAUAAAAUUAACAUAAAGAAGUCAAAUAUUUUAGACAACAGAAAAACAAACGAUUAGUUAGGAAGCAACAAACGACUCAUUAAAUUUUGCGUGAUGAAUUUUGAAUUUUAACAUGUGAUGUCACAAAGUUUUUGACCCCCCCUGCCCCUUGUCACACUAUGUCACAUUCCGAUGAUACCCUCCCCCCCAUUAACAUGUGACGUAAUUUAUGGAUGACCCCUAAUAAAUAAGUAAAAUAUAAAAAAAAUUAGUAAACUUUUAGAAACUAGAAUAAUAAAAAGUUAUUAUUAAUUAGAAUAUAUAUAAGAAAUUUAAUAAUAUGAUUCAUAACUUUGUUUAUUUAACUAAUGGAAAAAGAAAAUAAUAUAAAAAUUUAAAUUAUAAUCAAUAAAGCAUAAAUGAAACGUUCAAAACAAUUUCAAUAACUUUAAAUGAACCUCUUAAAAUUUAUUCUUUAUAAAUAAGCCAAUAUGAAUAAUUAUUUGAAAAAGGACGAAAAAAAUAAUUGGCGAAAAUAUAAUUGGCAAUCAACACGAAAAAGAUAUAAGUAAAUUAAUUCGAACCAAUCACAUGAAUAUUUAUUCACUGUAUAAAUGUUGUCAAAGAUAUUUUAAGCGAAGAAGAACCAAAAGAAAAAUUAGAAUACUAUCACAUAUACAAAAAAGGACACAGAGGAAUUAACGAAUUAAAGAAAUCAUUAACUGAAAAAUAUUAUUGGCCUAAAAUGUUACAAGAUAUAGAAAAUUUUGUGAAUUGUGAAAUAUGUCAAAAGAAUAAAUAUGAUAGAAAUCCCCCAGUAAUUAAAUUUAAUUUAACCCCAACAGCUAACAAACCAUUCGAACAUAUACAUAUAGACACUUUUAAAAUAGCUAAUCACUCGUAUUUAACAUUUAAGAUGUUUAAGAGAAACUAAUAAAGAUUUAACGCCUGAUCAAUUAAUUAAACACUCAAUAUUGGCAUUGGCAACACAAUUUACACUAUUCGAAAUUAUUAAAGGCCACAUAAAUAAUCCUGAUCCUUUUGAUUUAGACGAUCAUUUAAUAAUAUCUAAUUAUAUACAAAAUCAUAAAGAAACCUCAAAAUUACUAUAUGAAAAAAUUAAAGAUAGGAAUGCCGAUAUCAAAGAAAAAAUAAUUAAUAAGAGAAAUGAGAAUAGAAAUGAUCCCCCUUCUUAUGCAAAUCAAGAUACAGCUUAUAUAAAGACAAAAUUUCGAGAUAAAAAAUUACCUAAAUUUAAAAAGGCACAAAUCGUAAAAGAUUCUGUAUAUUAUUAGAAACAAAUAAAGGAACUUAUCACAAAAACAUAAUCAGAAAAUCUAAAACUUACACUAAAAAUUUGUAAUAGAAAAAUGAAACUAACAACGAUAAUAAUAUUACUACUACUUUACAAGAAGAUUAAAACAGAAGAUGUAGAAAUUACGAAAGUAAACAAUUUAUUAUUACCUAUCAAUUUAGGAACCAGUAACCUUAUUUAUACUAAGUAUACUGUAUAUAUACUAAGUAUAUAUUAUAUAGACCUAGAAUAUAUUCAUAAACAGAUUAAUAAUUAAAAACAAUUUUAUUAUAGUUUAAAAAAUAAUUUAUCUCAAGCGAGCGCUACAAAUCCUAUUUCAUAUCAUAAUUUAGCUGAACAAUCACUAAGUAGAACAGAAAUUUUAAUUAAUACUUUAGAUAAAAAAUCAGAGAACAUUUAUCCAGAUUAAAAAGAGGAUUAAUAAAUGCAGUAGGCAAAAUAGAUAAAUGGCUUUUUGGAACUCUAGAUUCAGACGACGAAGAAAGAUAUGAUAAUGCUAUAAAUGUUUUACAACAAAAUCAAAAACAAAUAAUUCAUGAAGUAAAUUUGCAAAUAUCGUUACACAAAAAAUUAAUUGAUCAUUAUAAUAAAUCGAUUACGAUUCUAUGGUACAAUCAACAGAAACUUUCUGAUAAUUUAGAGAAAUUUUACAUUUCGAUAGAAAAUAAAAUAAUAACUUUGAAUAAUUUUAUAACAUUUUACAGUAAAAUUUCACAGAUUAAUCUGGAUUGUCAAAGUUUAAUUACAUUGAUUGAUAAUAUUGAAAACGCAAUAACAUUUUCUAAAUUAAAUACUAUUCAUAGAUCAGUAAUAUCUAGUCAAGAAAUUUUAGAAAUGAUGGAAUAUUGAAAUACUAUUUAUAAAGAAGAACAAAUCCCAACAUUUAAUAAUAUUUUAACGUAUUAUCUCUUUCUGGGCUCACAAGUAACCUUUUCCAAAUCCAAAAUAAUUUUUGCUACCCAUGUUCCAAUCUUGAAACCUAAAACCUAUGAAUUUUUCCAUUUAUACCCUAUAAUCCAAAAUAAUACAAUAUUUAUCCCUCCUCAACCUUACUUGGCCAGAAAUCAAGAAGAUGUUAUUUUUAUCAAAGAAGAAUGUCCAGUGCUAGAAAAAUUUAACCAACAGACUUUGAAAAAUUAUAUGAAAUAAAUAAAAUAGCUAGAAAUAUAAAGCCAAUCCAUGAAAUUUACAAUUCACAAAACCAUGUAUCAAUAGGACUAUUUACAAUAAUUAUAAUCAUUUGUAUAAUUUUAAUAAUGUUAUGGUUAAUUCAAAAAUAUAAAAGAAAAUUUAUAAGAAAACAGAAAUUUGAAGAAGACAUCGAAUUCUAGAAGGUCAUUUUAAUAAAACGCAAUAGUUUCAAAUAUUGUAAACACAUUGUCAGCAAUAAUUUGAUUAUAUAAACGAAAGAAUGUAAACACCUUAGUAAUGUUUAUAGUUAAUUCGCUUGAGAGAUUAAUUGUAACCAUUCAAUAAUACAAGAUUAAUUGUAAUUUUUGUAUUAAAUAAAUUUUUAAAAA
Molecule: long non-coding RNA, 5332 nt
Organism: Diorhabda sublineata
Lineage: Eukaryota; Metazoa; Arthropoda; Insecta; Coleoptera; Chrysomelidae
Exons: 2
Source: RefSeq, a predicted model, not a curated record